Molecule: ribosomal RNA, 499 nt
Filed under: uncultured bacterium
Lineage: Bacteria
Description: partial 16S ribosomal RNA
Rfam family: Bacterial small subunit ribosomal RNA
Source: RNAcentral
GACGAACGCUGGCGGCGUGCCUAAUACAUGCAAGUCGAGCGGACUUUCAAGAAGCUUGCUUUUUGAAAGUUAGCGGCGGACGGGUGAGUAACACGUGGGCAACCUGCCUGCAAGACGGGGAUAACUCCGGGAAACCGGGGCUAAUACCGGAUAAUAUCUUCCUUCGCAUGAAGGAAGGUUGAAAGGCGGCGCAAGCUGGCGCUUGCAGAUGGGCCCGCGGCGCAUUGGCUAGUUGGUGAGGUAACGGCUCACCAAGGCGACGAUGCGUAGCCGCCCUGAGAGGGUGGUCGGCCACACUGGGACUGAGACACGGCCCAGCCGCCUACGGGAGGCAGCCGUAGGGAAUCUUCCGCAAUGGACGAAAGUCUGACGGAGCAACGCCGCGUGAGCGAAGAAGGUCUUCGGAUCGUAAAGCUCUGUUGUCAGGGAAGAACAAGUACCGUUCGAACAGGGCGGUACCUUGACGGUACCUGACCAGAAAGCCACGGCUAACUACGUG